CCCCUAGAUGUUCUGGGCCGCACGCGCGCUACACUGAACAGUUCAACAAGUCUUAACCUUGGCCGAUAGGUCUGGGUAAUCUUUGAACGCUGUUCGUGAUUGGGAUAGACCUUUGCAAUUAUGGGUCUUCAACGAGGAAUUCCUAGUAAACGCAAGUCAUCAGCUUGCAUUGAUUACGUCCCUGCCCUUUGUACACACCGCCCGUCGCUCCUACCGAUUGAGUGGUCCGGUGAGGCCUUGGGAGGGCUAAGUGGGCUGUGUUUCACAGACUACCUGGCCCGAACCUGGUCAAACCUUAUCACUUAGAGGAAGGAGAAGUCGUAACA
This 326-nucleotide ribosomal RNA is filed under the name uncultured eukaryote. RNAcentral's name for it is "partial 18S ribosomal RNA". It matches the Rfam family "Eukaryotic small subunit ribosomal RNA", at positions 1470 to 1796 of the family's 1831-position model. The record is from RNAcentral.